UGCCGUGGAAGUGUAAGCCAAACAAACCUCUUCCUCUCCAAGUUGCUUUUGCACUUGGCAUGUGCCAGCUUCUCACUGGUGCUCACCGGCUUGGCGUCUCAUCUCCUCGGUUUCCUGGCUUCUUUUGCCCGGAUUCUGAUCAAAUGGCCAAGGGCAUUUGACCCUCCUCCUGGCCUAAGGCUGUAGUGUUGUUCUUGGUCUGCCUGGCACAGCUGCGGUACGGUGCUGGCCCGAGUCACAGGCACCUGAGACGUUUGCCUCGGAGUUGGAAGGUGACUCGCCGUUUGUCCCAGGAGUCAUGGACGUCAACUCAGGUCCUGGCUGGUGUAGUGCUAUGGACCCAGACAUGGCCCUCUGCAGCGUCACCAUGGCCCUGGGUGGCAGCACAGGCAACUCAGAUUAGCCUGCUCUUGGUGGACACCAACACGGACUCAGGUGGCUGUCCAGACCCCAGACAUCUGCUCAGCCCUCAGUGCUAACUGAAGCCAUGGACAUCAACACAGACCCUGGCUGUUGUAGGACCAUGGACCUAGACGUGGCUGUUGGCAGUGCUCAGGUCCAGAAGUCAUUAUGGCCCCAGGUGGCAAACCCGGCUACUCAGCUUGGCAUGGCCCCAGCAUCAGCAUGACCUUUGGACAUGCCGCCCAGACACCAGGCAUUCCUGUGGCCUUUGGUGGCAACAUAGGCCAUGGACAUCAACACAAACCUCAGUUGGGGUAGAACCAUGGACUUAGACGUGGCUGUUGGAGGCAGCCUGGGCAUGGAUAUCCCAAGUGGGCCACCCACCCUCACCGCCUUCAUUCCUUUAGUCCCGCCUCUUCCCACAGCGCAUGAACCAUUCUACUUCUUUCUCUCUCAUUUCUCCACUAUGGAUGUGCUCAUCAAAAUGGCUCCUACCCUGCCCAGCAAGCCUGUGGAUGUCUUCAGCCAGCCUGGGCCAUGUAGGCCUGUGGGUAUCUUCUUCUGCCUGGCCUGUGAAUUCCAAAACACUUAUUUUUUAAGACAAUGAAAUUCCUGGUGUAUUUUAACACUUUAUAUUUUAUUUACUUUUGUAGAGUAUUUUUGAACUUAGGACCUUGUCCAUUCUGAACAGCAACAGAAAUCAAACUAGGAGAGUGGUCAUAUGUUUUAAAUAAAUUCUAA
This is a long non-coding RNA of Mesocricetus auratus (golden hamster), 1143 nucleotides long. RefSeq lists it as uncharacterized. The record is from RefSeq and is a predicted model, not a curated record. The transcript is spliced from 3 exons. NCBI's taxonomy places the organism in Eukaryota, Metazoa, Chordata, Mammalia, Rodentia, Cricetidae.